GAUGAACGCUGGCGGCGUGCUUAACACAUGCAAGUCGAACGGGAAUUACUUUAUUGAAACUUCGGUCGAUUUAAUUUAAUUCUAGUGGCGGACGGGUGAGUAACGCGUGGGUAACCUGCCUUAUACAGGGGGAUAACAGUCAGAAAUGGCUGCUAAUACCGCAUAAGCGCACAGAGCUGCAUGGCUCAGUGUGAAAAACUCCGGUGGUAUAAGAUGGACCCGCGUUGGAUUAGCUAGUUGGUGGGGUAACGGCCCACCAAGGCGACGAUCCAUAGCCGGCCUGAGAGGGUGAACGGCCACAUUGGGACUGAGACACGGCCCAGACUCCUACGGGAGGCAGCAGUGGGGAAUAUUGCACAAUGGGGGAAACCCUGAUGCAGCGACGCCGCGUGAAGGAAGAAGUAUCUCGGUAUGUAAACUUCUAUCAGCAGGGAAGAUAAUGACGGUACCUGACUAAGAAGCCCCGGCUAACUACGUGCCAGCAGCCGCGGUAA
Molecule: ribosomal RNA, 494 nt
Filed under: uncultured bacterium
Lineage: Bacteria
Description: partial 16S ribosomal RNA
Rfam family: Bacterial small subunit ribosomal RNA
Source: RNAcentral